RNAcentral lists this ribosomal RNA (1917 nucleotides) under unidentified Haemosporida. Its description in RNAcentral is "SSU rRNA". It matches the Rfam family "Eukaryotic small subunit ribosomal RNA", at positions 165 to 1764 of the family's 1831-position model. Lineage: Eukaryota; Apicomplexa; Aconoidasida; Haemosporida. The record is from RNAcentral.
UAAUACUUGCUCGAUUUGUACUGCUAACUGGUGGUGUUAGACAGAUUUACAGGUAUUUGUUAGGGUUGAAAAGGAAAGGUGCAUAAUAACACAAGGAGUGAUAACAAAGAAACAACACGUAUAAAUAUUUAUUUUAUUAAGUGUGUAUCAAUCGAGUUUCUGACCUAUCAGCUUUUGAUGUUAGGGUAUUGGCCUAACAUGGCUAUGACGGGUAACGGGGAAUUAGAGUUCGAUUCCGGAGAGGGAGCCUGAGAAAUAGCUACCACAUCUAAGGAAGGCAGCAGGCGCGUAAAUUACCCAAUUCUAAAAAAGAGAGGUAGUGACAAGAAAUAACGAUGCAAGGCCAAAUUUUGGUUUUGCAAUUGGAAUGAUAGGAAUUUAAAAACUUCCUAAAGUAACAAUUGGAGGGCAAGUCUGGUGCCAGCAGCCGCGGUAAUUCCAGCUCCAAUAGCGUAUAUUAAAAUUGUUGCAGUUAAAACGCUCGUAGUUGAACUUCAAAGAAUCUAUUUCUAAGGAAUACAUUAUUGGACCGCGCAUUUAUAUAAAGGAUUGCGUUUUAACGCUUUACUUAAUACUUGAUUCUUCAAUAAGUAUUUCUUAAAAUAAAUAAUGGUUCUUUUUAAAAAAUUAUUUUUUGCAUAUUUUUUAUGCAAUUAGAAUUUUUUGUUACUUUGAGUAAAUUAGAGUGUUCAAAGCAAACAGUUAAAACAGUUUUACUGUGUUUGAAUACUACAGCAUGGAAUAACAAAAUUGAACAAGUCAAGAUGAUAUGUUCUUUAUCCUUAUUUUGGCUUAGUUACGAUUAACAGGAGUAGUUUGGGGACAUUAGUAUUCAGAAGUCAGAGGUGAAAUUCUUAGAUUUUCUGGAGACUAACAACUGCGAAAGCAUUUGUCUAAAAUAUUUCCAUUAAUCAAGAACGAAAGUUAAGGGAGUGAAGACGAUCAGAUACCGUCGUAAUCUUAACCAUAAACUAUGCCGACUAGGUGUUGGAUGAAAGUGUAAAAAAUAAGAAAUGUUCCAACGUAACAAUUGGAAUAUUUCUUAGCUUGCUUCCUUCAGUACCUUAUGAGAAAUCAAAGUCUUUGGGUUCUGGGGCGAGUAUUCGCGCAAGCGAGAAAGUUAAAAGAAUUGACGGAAGGGCACCACCAGGCGUGGAGCUUGCGGCUUAAUUCGACUCAACACGGGAAAACUCACUAGUUUAAGACAAGAGUAGGAUUGACAGAUUAAUAGCUCUUUCUUGAUUUCUUGGAUAGUGAUGCAUGGCCGUUUUUAGUUCGUGAAUAUGAUUUGUCUGGUUAAUUCCGAUAACGAACGAGAUCUUAACCUGCUAAUUAGCGGUAAAUACGUGAUAUUCUUAUAACAAAUUGUAUAUCGAAUAGAAAACAUAUAAAAGUUGAAAAUAUUAGAAUACUAUUAUUGUAUUCUUUUCCCUUUUCUUCUCUUUGUAGUUUUCUGUUCUUUUACUUUUUAAUGUAAGAAUGUAUUUACUUGAUUGUAAAGCUUCUUAGAGGGACAUUGUGUGUCUAACACAAGGAAGUUUAAGGCAACAACAGGUCUGUGAUGUCCUUAGAUAAACUAGGCUGCACGCGUGCUACACUGAUAUAUAUAACGAGUUAUUAAAAAUAUAUCUUUGUAUAUAUAUAUAUUUCUAUAUAUGUAUAUUCAUAUGAUAUAAUUUUCCUUCACUGAAAAGUGUAGGCAAUCUUUAUCAAUAUAUAUCGUGAUGGGGAUAGAUUAUUGCAAUUAUUAAUCUUAAACGAGGAAUGCCUAGUAAGCAUGAUUCAUCAGAUUGUGCUGACUACGUCCCUGCCCUUUGUACACACCGCCCGUCGCUCCUACCGAUUGAAAGAUAUGAUGAAUUGUUUGGACAAGAAGAAAAAGAUUUAUAUUUUUUUCUUUUUGGAAAAAUCGUAAAU